UCGCCUUUCCCGUCCCGAUGCAGUGACCGCCCGCCCGCGUGCCCUGGACCUUCCGCCGGCUCCCGGAUCCAUCUGCCUCUUGCAGCCGUCGCCAGCCCCCUUCUACCUCGAGAUUUAAAUUAAAUACUACUAAAGAUAGGUCUAGGCCAAACGAGGCAGCAGAGUCCGUUUCUGGUGAGAAACGGGGUGGAGACGAUGCAGGAGAGGGCAAGAGAUAGAGCGAGAGUGGAGUCGUCGGAGCUGCCGAUGUGGGGUAAAACGGAGAUCACCAGCGGGGAUUUCUCGAGGCUGCACCACCGAAUCAAAAUCCUAGGCGCCGUGAAUGUGGCCAGGUUUGAUUGGCUAACUAAGGAGUGCUGGGCAGGUGGGGAAGAUGCACGUGUCGCGACGGUGCAUCGGAAAUUGGCGAAGGCUCGUCUCGGCAAACAAGAAGCUAUGGAUACAUGCGCGUCUAGCCGCAAGCCGUCUUCAUUGUUGUUCAUGGAGUCCAACAGUAUUCUACACACGAAUGACAUCCAUUGAGGAGAUCUCUUAAAUAGCAUCGGAUGCCACACAAGCCUGAUGGCUAAUGUUUCCGCUCCGUUGACGACCCCCACCGACGCCUCCAAUGACAUAAGAUUUGUUCUCCCUGGUGCAAAAUCAGACAGAUUAUCUAUGGACAAGAAUCUGGGAAAAAAGGAUCCCUCCCCUACUGAAUUAUGUAUGUUAGAUCAACACGGAAAAUUUCUAUUUCUGUAUAUAUCUUUAGUCUAUGCAUUUGCAGCGAUAGCCUUCGAAUUUACAAUCA
Molecule: long non-coding RNA, 787 nt
Organism: Lolium rigidum
Lineage: Eukaryota; Viridiplantae; Streptophyta; Magnoliopsida; Poales; Poaceae
Exons: 3
Source: RefSeq, a predicted model, not a curated record